ACUAAUUUCUAAUUAUCAAAGCAAAACACUUGAAUAUGAGUGUUUAAUAUAAGAUUAAAUUUUGUCUUAAAAGAUCAGGACGUCACUAUUAAUUAAAUUUUUAUUAUCAGGAUUAUUUCUCCUGUUUCUAUCAGUGGACGUUUCACAAAUACUGAGGGACGCUGCACCACCGGUACACCACCCACCACCAGAGCAAACACACAGGAAGGAGUUCGCCUUCUGAUACCGGCCCUGUUAGACGCUCAUCGGCGGCGACGGAAAAAAGCUCAGCGGCAGACUGUGUGCGGGAGGACGGCGGCGUGUCGGGAUGCAGAAGUCUGUGUCAGCUCAGCUCCAGACCGUUUGAAUGAAGCUUCAAUCUUAUCAGA
Long non-coding RNA from Oryzias melastigma (Indian medaka), 368 nucleotides. RefSeq lists it as uncharacterized. The transcript is spliced from 2 exons. The record is from RefSeq and is a predicted model, not a curated record. Lineage: Eukaryota; Metazoa; Chordata; Actinopteri; Beloniformes; Adrianichthyidae.